UUGAUAUAAGAUUAAUUGAGGCGAUUGCUGCGAGUGGAGUGUUGUGUUCUUGGGCUUGCACUGCAUCGAAUGCUCUUUCGAGGUUCAUGAUAGGGAUGUUUGUAGCUAGUAGUCAUCGGUGUUCAGCCCGAGUAAAAUUGCGUGCCCUUCUUUGGUUUCUCUGUUCAAAAGUUUCAUCCUGCGGGGCGUUAGCUGAUGACUCAUCUUCUGAAAUGUUGUUGAGUUGU
Molecule: long non-coding RNA, 227 nt
Filed under: Setaria viridis
Lineage: Eukaryota; Viridiplantae; Streptophyta; Magnoliopsida; Poales; Poaceae
Description: long non-coding RNA (SVIR_LNC010574)
Source: RNAcentral